GGGAGUAGUAUUUAGCACCGAGUUGGGCUUGAUUCCGAGGUCUCAUGCCCUAGAACUACGUGCCCCCGUAGGUUUCUAAUAUACCCCAAGUGGGUUAAGAUAGUGAUUACUAAAGUUAAGGUUCUAUCCGAUGGCAAAGAUAGAAUAGCUCUCCCCAACAUGGGUAAGACGUUGGACCCCAGAUAGCUCACAUGAUUUAUGUAGGUUAGAAGAAACUCCCAAAGAUG
This 227-nucleotide long non-coding RNA is filed under the name Capsicum annuum. RNAcentral's name for it is "long non-coding RNA (CANN_LNC006218)". The record is from RNAcentral. Lineage: Eukaryota; Viridiplantae; Streptophyta; Magnoliopsida; Solanales; Solanaceae.